AGGACGAACGCUGGCGGCGUGCUUAACACAUGCAAGUCAAGGGGGCCCAGCAAUGGGCAACCGGCGAACGGGUGCGUAACACGUGAGCAACCUACCGAACUGUGGGGGAUAGCCGGCCUAACGGCCGAGUAAUACCGCAUACGCUCUCAGGGAGGCAUUUCUUUGAGAGGAAACCUACGGGACAGGUCGAGGGGCUCGCGGCCUAUCAGCUAGUUGGCGAGGUAACGGCUCACCAAGGCAACGACGGGUA
This 250-nucleotide ribosomal RNA is filed under the name uncultured soil bacterium. RNAcentral's name for it is "partial 16S ribosomal RNA". It matches the Rfam family "Bacterial small subunit ribosomal RNA", at positions 26 to 285 of the family's 1533-position model. The record is from RNAcentral.